CGCGAAUGGCUCAUUACAACAGCUGUUGUUUCUUGGAUCUUGUUUUACUUGGAUAACUGUGGUAAUUCUAAAGCUAAUACAUGCUAAAAAACUCUAACCUUACGGAAGGAGCGCAUUUAUUAGACCAAGACCAAACAGGCUUUGCCUGGAAUCUGGUGACUCUGAAUAACUUUGCUGAUCACAUGGUCCUAGCACCGGUGACAUUUCUUUCAAGUGUCUGCCCUACCAACUUUCGAUGGUAGCUUAUGCACCUACCAUGGUGGUAACGGGUAACGGAAAAUAAGGGUUCGACUCCGGAGAGGGAGCCUGAGAAAUGGUACCACAUCCAAGGAAGGCAGCAGGC
RNAcentral lists this ribosomal RNA (343 nucleotides) under Nematode sp. ArchTamar3. RNAcentral describes it as "SSU rRNA". It matches the Rfam family "Eukaryotic small subunit ribosomal RNA", at positions 88 to 433 of the family's 1831-position model. The record is from RNAcentral. Lineage: Eukaryota; Metazoa; Nematoda.